Long non-coding RNA from Vicia villosa (hairy vetch), 1038 nucleotides. RefSeq lists it as uncharacterized. The transcript is spliced from 3 exons. Lineage: Eukaryota; Viridiplantae; Streptophyta; Magnoliopsida; Fabales; Fabaceae. The record is from RefSeq and is a predicted model, not a curated record.
ACUUUAUUCCAUCAUUACACGCUUUAGUUUUCACAAGCAUUGAAAAUACACUGCUUUUUACUCUGAGUCCCUUCCAAUUCCUUUCCUCCAUCUAUAAAGUUAUUCCCUUUUGAAGAAAAAAAAUUGAAUCCUAUGACUCGGAAUAAUGUUAUGAGUUGCAGUCUAUGGGACACUUAUGGAUCGAAGUUUUCAAGGACGUGAUGCGCAAAUAUUCAUUUUAGAUCUGCAAAUAUAUGUUUUUAGUUUUUUACAAUCAGAUAUGCAUGAAGAGCUUCUAGAAAAAAAUUGAUGUUUCAUCAUAAUCAAAUCUGUAGGAAGAGUUUAUGGGAAAAAAUUGAAAUCAACUCAAGUAUUCAAGGGCGUAGAGGUGGAAGAAAUCAAAGUCAUGGAUAUGGAGACUAACAAACCCCUCCUGAUCUGCGCUUCCAUCAGAAUCAGAUCUGCCAAUAUUGGUUGGUUUCAGAUCCGCAAAUAUUGGGUUUUUUUUCUCGAAUCAGAUUUGCAUGAAGAGUUUUUAGAGAAAAAAUCAUGUUUCAUCGUAAUCAAAUAAUCAAAUCUAAAGGAAGAGUUUUUGUCGAUACAGCCAAUAACAUUAAGCAAUUUGACUGAUAAUAGUGGGAGUUUGAGCAAUUGGAGUGAUGGAGACCCAUGUACAUUACCGUAAUAUUCCAAAAAAAAAAAGGCAAUAUCAAAUAUUUAAAGAAUUCAGAGUUUUUGUGUUUAUUUUUAUAAUAUAAAUGUAAUUUCAUGUAAUUAAUAUAUAUUAAUAAUAAUUAAUAUUGUGAAGUUUUGUAACUAUGGAAGCAUUAAUUUUAAUAUUGUGAAAUUAUGUAAUUAUGGCCGCAUUAAUUUUCUUAAUUCAAAAUGAUUUGAUUUUUUAGAAUAUUUUAAUAUUUUCUUUAACAAUUAGUAAUGAUAGUCCCAAAUGUUUUUUCCAAAAUAAAUAAAAUAGAUACUAUUCAUUAGGCGUGCAUACCCUAUGAAGUUCCCAAAAAGAAGCUUUCAAAUUUUACAAUGCUCAGCCACAUUGAGCGUUUG